This 820-nucleotide ribosomal RNA is filed under the name uncultured Geobacter sp. RNAcentral's name for it is "bacterial SSU rRNA". It matches the Rfam family "Bacterial small subunit ribosomal RNA", at positions 36 to 842 of the family's 1533-position model. The record is from RNAcentral. Lineage: Bacteria; Pseudomonadati; Thermodesulfobacteriota; Desulfuromonadia; Geobacterales; Geobacteraceae.
CAUGCGCGUGCUACCAUGCAAGUCGAACGUGAUCCGCCCUUCGGGGUGGUGAAAGUGGCGCACGGGUGAGUAACGCGUGGAUAAUCUGCCCGAGGAUUUGGGAUAACAUCUCGAAAGGGGUGCUAAUACCGAAUAAGCCCACGGGGUCUACGGAUCUUGCGGGAAAAGGGGGGGACCUUCGGGCCUCCUGUCCUUGGAUGAGUCUGCGUACCAUUAGCUAGUUGGUGGGGUAAUGGCCUACCAAGGCGACGAUGGUUAGCUGGUCUGAGAGGAUGAUCAGCCACACUGGAACUGAGACACGGUCCAGACUCCUACGGGAGGCAGCAGUGGGGAAUUUUGCGCAAUGGGGAAACCCUGACGCAGCAACGCCGCGUGGGUGAUGAAGGCCUUCGGGUCGUAAAGCUCUGUCUGGAGGGAAGAAAUGAUUGGGAGCUAAUACCUCUUGAUCUUGACGGUACCUCUGAAGGAAGCACCGGCUAACUCCGUGCCAGCAGCCGCGGUAAUACGGAGGGUGCAAGCGUUGUUCGGAAUUAUUGGGCGUAAAGCGCGUGUAGGCGGUCUUUUAAGUCUGAUGUGAAAGCCCCGGGCUCAACCUGGGAAGUGCAUUGGAAACUGGGAGGCUUGAGUACGGGAGAGGAGAGUGGAAUUCCUAGUGUAGGAGUGAAAUCCGUAGAUAUUAGGAGGAACACCGGUGGCGAAGGCGGCUCUCUGGACCGAUACUGACGCUGAGACGCGAAAGCGUGGGUAGCAAACAGGAUUAGAUACCCUCUAGUCCACGCCGUAGACGAUGAGUACUAGUGUUGCGGGUAUUGACCCCUGC